RNAcentral lists this ribosomal RNA (399 nucleotides) under uncultured bacterium. RNAcentral's name for it is "bacterial SSU rRNA". It matches the Rfam family "Bacterial small subunit ribosomal RNA", at positions 29 to 426 of the family's 1533-position model. The record is from RNAcentral.
AGCGAACGUUUGCGGCGGGCUUAACACAUGCAAGUCGAACGGGCUGUUCCUUCGGGGGCAGUCAGUGGCGCACGGGUGCGUAACACGUAGGUAAUCAACCCUCUGGUUGGGGAUAACACUUCGAAAGGAGUGCUAAUACCCGGUAUGGCGCAGCGGUCUUCGGAUCGCGGCGAGAAAGACCCGCAAGGGUUGCCAGAGGACGAGCCUGCGGCCCAUCAGCUAGUUGGCGAGGUAACGGCUCACCAAGGCGAAGACGGGUAGCUGGUCUGAGAGGAUGAUCAGCCACACUGGAACUGAGACACGGUCCAGACUCCUACGGGAGGCAGCAGUGGGGAAUAUUGCGCAAUGGGCGAAAGCCUGACGCAGCCACGCCGCGUGAGCGAUGAAGGCCUCGGUCGU